This 970-nucleotide ribosomal RNA is filed under the name uncultured bacterium. RNAcentral's name for it is "bacterial SSU rRNA". It matches the Rfam family "Bacterial small subunit ribosomal RNA", at positions 8 to 986 of the family's 1533-position model. The record is from RNAcentral.
AGAGUUUGAUCAUGGCUCAGAACGAACGCUGGCGGCGUGCUUAACACAUGCAAGUCGAGUGCGCGGUUGUAGCAAUACAACUGGCGCACGGCGCACGGGUGCGUAACACGUGGGUAACCUGCCCUUUGGUGGGGAAUAACCCCGGGAAACCGGGGCUAAUUCCGCAUAAGAUCCGCAAGGAUGAAAGCCGUAAGGCGCCGAUGGAGGGGCCCGCGCACGAUUAGCUAGUUGGUGAGGUAAUGGCUCACCAAGGCUGUGAUCGUUAGCUGGUCUGAGAGGAUGGCCAGCCACACUGGAACUGAGACACGGUCCAGACUCCUACGGGAGGCAGCAGUGGGGAAUCUUGCACAAUGGGCGAAAGCCUGAUGCAGCGACGCCGCGUGGGGGAUGAAGCAUCUCGGUGUGUAAACCCCUUUCGACCCGGACGAAUACCUCGCAAGAGGGGUGACGGUACGGGUAUAAGAAGCCCCGGCUAACUACGUGCCAGCAGCCGCGGUAAGACGUAGGGGGCCAGCGUUGUUCGGAAUUACUGGGUGUAAAGGGUCAGUAGGCGGUGUGGCAAGUUGGGAGUGAAAUCUAUGGGCUCAACCCAUAGGCUGCUUCCAAAACUGCUGUGCUUGAGUGUGGGAGAGGCGCGUGGAAUUGCAGGUGUAGCGGUGAAAUGCGUAGAUAUCUGCAGGAACACCCGUGGCGAAAGCGGCGCGCUGGACCACAACUGACGCUGAAUGACGAAAGCUAGGGGAGCAAACAGGAUUAGAUACCCUGGUAGUCCUAGCCCUAAACGAUCAGGACUUGGGGUGCCACCCGUUCGGGUGUCGUCCCGGAGCUAACGCGUUAAGUCCUGCACCUGGGGGAGUACGGUCGCAAGACUGAAACUCAAAAGGAAUUGACGGGGGGCCCGCACAAAGCGGUGGGAACAUGUGGGUUCAAUUCCGACGCUACCCCGAGGAACCUUUACCUGGGGUUCGAA